UGAACGCUGGCGGCAGGCCUAACACAUGCAAGUCGAACGGUAACAGGAAGCAGCUUGCUGCUUYGCUGACGAGUGGCGGACGGGUGAGUAAUGUCUGGGAAACUGCCUGAUGGAGGGGGAUAACUACUGGAAACGGUAGCUAAUACCGCAUAACGUCGCAAGACCAAAGAGGGGGACCUUCGGGCCUCUUGCCAUCGGAUGUGCCCAGAUGGGAUUAGCUAGUAGGUGGGGUAACGGCUCACCUAGGCGACGAUCCCUAGCUGGUCUGAGAGGAUGACCAGCCACACUGGAACUGAGACACGGUCCAGACUCCUACGGGAGGCAGCAGUGGGGAAUAUUGCACAAUGGGCGCAAGCCUGAUGCAGCCAUGCCGCGUGUAUGAAGAAGGCCUUCGGGUUGUAAAGUACUUUCAGCGGGGAGGAAGGYGWURAGGUUAAUAACCUYRKCRAUUGACGUUACCCGCAGAAGAAGCACCGGCUAACUCCGUGCC
Molecule: ribosomal RNA, 490 nt
Filed under: Enterobacter hormaechei
Lineage: Bacteria; Pseudomonadati; Pseudomonadota; Gammaproteobacteria; Enterobacterales; Enterobacteriaceae
Description: bacterial SSU rRNA
Source: RNAcentral